UGUAUUCACUUCUGUAAGUCGCUCUGGAUAAGAGCGUAUGCCAAAUGGUUCAAA
Salmo salar (Atlantic salmon) is the source of this 54-nucleotide non-coding RNA. Lineage: Eukaryota; Metazoa; Chordata; Actinopteri; Salmoniformes; Salmonidae. The record is from Rfam.